GAGUCUUCAUCCAUUUGAUCCCAGCAGAGGUGCCACUCUUCACCUUCUGAGCACCCACCACAGCAGCUGUCUUAGCUUUGUCAGCACCCACAGCUGCUGCUGCCUUGGCCUUUUCCAUCCCGGCUGCCAUCUUCUUGCUGCUGCUGCCUCCGCCACUAAUGCUCUUCUUCGCCUUGUCAUCUUCCACAUGCUCCUCGUUCCCAAAAGCACCCGCUCCCCAUUGAUCAGACCAACUCGGUGCCUUGUUGCUCCCCAUGAUUGAUUUCCCUCCUUUUACCUGCAGAAAAAUUUAAAAUCUUCACUGAUUCUAAUCACUAAUCAGUGCAUGUUCGGAAAUCUUUCUAGAAUUGAUUCUAAAGCCAAAAUCAAUUUUAGGGAGAAACUUAUGUGAGUCUCUCCUUAGUUCUUAGUGCCAGAAUUGAUUCAAAUCACUUAUCAAUGCAUGUUUGGAAAUUCAUCUAGCUUUUGAUUCUAAAGUCAAAAUCAAUUAUGGGGAGAAGGCGAGAAGCUAAGUAUCUUCUAAAUGCCAGAAUUGAUUCUAAUCAUGUAUCAAUGCAUGUUUGGAAAUCGUUCUAGAAUUGAUUCUAAAGUCAUAAUAAAUUACAUGAAGAAGCUAAGUAGCUUCUUUAUGUCAGAAUUGAUGCUAAUCACUUAUACAUGCAUGUUUGGAAAUCCCUCUAGAAUUGAUUCUACUGCCAAAAACAAUUCUAGGGUGAAACUUAUCUUAGUAGCUUAUUGAUGUCACAAAGAAAACAGAAGCUAAUACAAACAUCCUAAACAUGCUAUCAAAGCAAAUUAACAAACAAAACAACAACAAAACAUAAAGAGACAAAAAGGUAGGCGGAAACAUUCACAAAAUCGCAUCUAAUCCAAGUCGCACAAGGUCAAUAAUGCCAAACACACAUGUUUGGUUUCAAUUGACACAGUUAAUUAAUCAAUGUGACAAUCCAAAGCAAGAAAAAUAACAUUUGGGAUUUUUGAAUUAACAAGAUUUGGGUACACACCCACCCACAAGAUCUCUAGAUGAAUCCAAAGCAAAGUUUGAAGAGUUUAUUGAAAAAAAUCAAAACUUUUUGCUCAAUAGAUAAGAAUCAGAAAGACCCAGUUGUUAAAUGGAGUAAAUUGCACAUAAUUGUUGAAAAAAUAGGGCAAAAUUUCAUUUUUAUGUAUCUAUACAAAGACAGAGUGAGAUCGUAUAAAAGGGCAAGGAAGGUUCAGAUUGCUUGCAUGUUUGCUCGUACCUUGUUGUUGGUUGAUGAGGAUUGAGGAAGAAGAAGAUGGAGAUUUGAUUUGAGUUUGAGGGAGAGAAGGCAACAACGGGUUGAAACUCCAACAAAUGGAAUGAAGUGAAGUGAAAGGGAGGACAAGUCUUUGUUUUAUA
RNAcentral lists this long non-coding RNA (1381 nucleotides) under Lotus japonicus. Its description in RNAcentral is "long non-coding RNA (LJAP_LNC001682)". Lineage: Eukaryota; Viridiplantae; Streptophyta; Magnoliopsida; Fabales; Fabaceae. The record is from RNAcentral.